Molecule: long non-coding RNA, 1835 nt
Organism: Triticum dicoccoides
Lineage: Eukaryota; Viridiplantae; Streptophyta; Magnoliopsida; Poales; Poaceae
Exons: 5
Source: RefSeq, a predicted model, not a curated record
AGCAGUGGCGGACCUAGAGAGUAUUUUGACUGGGGGCAAAGUAUUUGAAUGGGGGCAUACUCUUUCAAAAUGCAAAGAAUUUUAGCAUAUUUUUCAAAAAACACAAGCCAAUAUUACUGGAGUUUCAAAGUUUGAGUGGGGGCCUAGGCCCCCACUCACCUCAAUGUAGGUCCGCCCCUGGUGGACAGUGGCGUUCAUGCAAGAGCGUCCACGUCAUGCUCCGUUCCGAUUGACUGUUGGUGGCGCUCUGGUACUGCUCAAUGAGAUCCCUCAAGCUACAUCAUUGGAUAGUUGAACAUGAAAGAAGGAUGGUAUGGAAUCGACACAUGAUUCGGUUAUGUUUCGUUACAUCUAAGAUGUGUUGAAUGGGUUUCCUGGAACUAAUAGAUGGAUGGGUGCUAGGGCUGGGAUUGGGCUCGGAUGAAUUGCUCUGUCGAAUUUGUUCGCUGCUGUAUAGUAGUAUGUAUAGCAUAACUGUAACAGUGCCUUUCUGUUUCACAAAUAAAUGUAGUUUUCCGUGCAUUUCUCUCUGGUUGAAUAGAUCGAUUAGUUUUUCUCCUUUACUUUUUAUGUGGACGAACGCAGGGGUACUGCCACAUUUAUGCAUAUAUUACUGCUCAUUUGCAUUGGGCUAAUUGAUUUUGACAGCUUGUAGGCAAUGCAUGCCAAGAACAACCAAGUGGAUCCAUUUAAGAAACAAGAGUCAGAAGAUGUAGAUGUUGCAGAGAACCUGUCUGUACUGAAGUAGCGGAUGAGUAAGUAGGCUGUACACCUCCUGAUAGGGUGUACUGAUGCUCGUCGCUUUCAAUGAAUAGUUUGUCCUGUUUUUCUAUGACAGUGAUUAUUCUAUGCAAAUGUAGCAAUUUUAUAAGUUACUCAGUAUGUUUGUUGAAACCAGAGUUUGUAGAAACUAGAAAGGAUGGUGCUAUGUUCCUGUCCAACUGUCUUUUUUUCUGAAUGGUUUGUUUAGAACUUGUUCCUAGCAGAUUUGAAAAUUCUGGAGAUGAGAUUGCAGCAGUACACCCUAUCCCCUGAUGGAGAAAAGGAGCCUAGCGAAGAAUAUUGGGCUUGAGCUGGAACGUGAGGUGCUUUCACACCUUAGGGAUGUAGCACUCUCUGGUGCUCACACUCUCGGGUGGACAUACUCUUGGGAAGAGAUCGUCUGGAGAGCUUGGUAUUCGACUACGCUUUGCCAAAUGAUCCUCUGAAGUUUGAUAACUCCUACUUUAUGUAAGCUUAAUCGUCACGGUUGUUGAUUGCACAUUGGCUUAAGAUUAUAUAGAUGUAAUGUCAUCAGCGCAACAUUGUGAAGUUGUACAUCCCUGGACGUCAUCUUUUGUAUAUGCUGCAGUGAGCUUCUAAAAGGGUACUCCUGAAGUGGCUUACAGAACAGGUUCUCAUGGAGGAUCAACUUUCGGUCCCUUAUUGAAUUAUACGCAAAGGUAAAGAAGAGUUUAAUUCAUCUUCAUUUGCUUGUUGGAGAUGUUGGCAGGACGCGUUCUUUAGAGAUUACGCUGAUUCGCACAAGAAGCUUUCCGAGCUCUACUUUACUGGCAUGGACAUGCAGAGACGAAGCCAAGAGGGCUGUGAGGAGAACUACCACUGUCUUUGCAGUUGCGGUUGCCGUCAUCACCUGCGCUUACAUAUGUUAAUCCAAGAGGACGCUCAAUGGUUAGAUUGCAAGUCUCCAUGUGCAGAUGACUCCAGUUCAGUUAUGGGUUCUGAAGAACAAAGUUAAAUCAUAAUUUGAGAUGUUGUGUAGUCAUAGUUGUAACCAAUCUGCUGAUACAGUGAUGAGGGUGCAGAUGUACUAUCCAUGCAAGUAAAUUGCAAAU